RNAcentral lists this ribosomal RNA (253 nucleotides) under uncultured bacterium. RNAcentral describes it as "partial 16S ribosomal RNA". It matches the Rfam family "Bacterial small subunit ribosomal RNA", at positions 524 to 776 of the family's 1533-position model. The record is from RNAcentral.
UACGUAGGCAGCAAGCGUUGUUCGGAGUUACUGGGCGUAAAGGGUGUGUAGGCGGCUUUUUAAGUUUGGUGUGAAAUCUCCCGGCUCAACUGGGAGGGUGCGCCGAAUACUGAGAGGCUAGAGUGUGGGAGAGGAAAGUGGAAUUCCUGGUGUAGCGGUGAAAUGCGUAGAUAUCAGGAGGAACACCUGUGGUGUAGACAGCUUACUGGACCACUUCUGACGCUGAGACACGAAAGCGUGGGUAGCAAACAGG